AGAUUAUAGUGUUUCCAAUGAUUUGAGCCAUUAUUAAACAGAUCAAACCUGCGACUCCCAAUUUGAAUGCUUCACUUUCAGGCAGAAAGCAGAAUCUGCCGUUCAAUUUCAGCAGCCAUACAUGACGCGAAGGAGGCGAGGGUGAGGGUUGCAACAAUGGAAAACCCUAUCACGAAGAAGCUGGAUGGUGGCUUUUCCAUGGCGGCCAGAAGAUCGAAGAAGUGGGACUGAGUUUAAAUCAAGUCAUGGUAUUUGAAAGGGAAAGGCUCUUCGAGUUUCUGCAGGGAAAUGGCCCCACGCCAUUGUUACAGGAUGAAGAUGCAAGUUUUUGCCAAUAUUUGGAUUCCUCAAGCCGCUUCUUAGCAACAAUGGAGGAGUACUGAGAGCCCCACAUGCUACUAUAGUCACCUUGGACUCAACCAAGCACACCUGUUUCACUCCUGAACCACACCCAAACUCGAACGCAAUGCCUUUCGCUCUGUUGCGUUCGCUCCCGUCUUUCUUCUCCUUCCUGAUAUCAAUGGCUUCGCAGCCGGGAAGUAUCACGCCAUUUCCCGACCUCACCAAGUCCACAAGCCAUGUCUCUGCAGUGCCCUUCUUUCUCCCAUCUUUGCAGCCUAGACAGCACCAGCCACAAUAAUGAUCAGAAGUUGAAUUUCUAGGAAUAUUGAUAGCAUGCUGACCAAUUCACUGUUGAGCCUCCACCAACAGUAGAGCCUGCAAGUACAAGCACAUUCAUGUUAUCAGUUGCUACUAACCCACUUGAAAGCACUCCAGCCACCACUCCGCCACCCGACCCAGACCCGACAACCACCGCAUCGCACUUGAUGAUCAUUGAAGGGCUGGAAGCUUUGAUCAUUGGGGAUAGAAGAGUGACUGGAAAUCCAAACUUUCUAAGUGCUUCUGCUGCUGCUGCUGCUGCUACUUGUUGGUUGUCCAGAUGGACAAUGCCUUUGAAUAGAGGUCCGUAAAGCUCUUCUUCAUCUUCCUCAACUUCUCUUGAUGCUUCUAACUGCUUGGUUUUGGCUUUGAAUUGGGGGUCCGCUCCCGGGUAGUCUAUCGCUUGCCAUGAUAUGUUGUUCGUUUUAUCAUCAACCUGAUCCAACCACAAAAUAGAAAGACCCAUUUUUCUCA
Long non-coding RNA from Cucurbita moschata (crookneck pumpkin), 1134 nucleotides. RefSeq lists it as uncharacterized. The transcript is spliced from 5 exons. The record is from RefSeq and is a predicted model, not a curated record. NCBI's taxonomy places the organism in Eukaryota, Viridiplantae, Streptophyta, Magnoliopsida, Cucurbitales, Cucurbitaceae.